GUCACCAAUCCUUUUAAUAGCGGUUACUUUCAAGGCCCACCCACUGCCCCUCUCGAGGCCGUAUCCGCUUGCACGGGUAUAUUUGGGUCGGGGUCUUACCCGGGAUAUCCGGGUCGGCUAUUGGUGGACAAGGCCACGGGGGCAAGCUACAACGCCCACGGUGUCAAUGGACGCAAGUACCUGUUACCGGCUAUGUGGGACCCGCAAACAAGUGCAUGCAAAACGCUUGUGUGAUGAAGACACCUGGCAAUAGGGGUUGUAAACGUGGCGGAAAUCUGUGCGGUGUAAUGUAGAUAUAUGGGGGAGGUCUGAUGGUGGGA
Molecule: unclassified non-coding RNA, 320 nt
Filed under: Hevea brasiliensis (rubber tree)
Lineage: Eukaryota; Viridiplantae; Streptophyta; Magnoliopsida; Malpighiales; Euphorbiaceae
Source: RNAcentral